AGAGAGAGACAUGCGCGCAUAUCAAUAAGCGGAGGAAAAGAAACUAACAAGGAUUCCCCUAGUAACGGCGAGUGAAGCGGGAAGAGCUCAAAUUUGAAAUCUUAAAGGGUUUCCCUUUACGAAUUGUAGUUUAAAGAAGUGUUUUCUGUUGAGGUUUUGGUAAAAGUUCUUUGGAAUAGGACAUCAUAGAGGGUGAGAAUCCCGUAUUUGACCUUACUUUCCAACUUUGUGAUACACUUUCAAAGAGUCGGAUUGUUUGGGAAUGCAGUCCAAAAUGGGUGGUAAAUUUCAUCUAAAGCUAAAUAUUGGCGAGAGACCGAUAGCGAACAAGUACCGUGAGGGAAAGAUGAAAAGAACUUUGAAAAGAGAGUUAAACAGUACGUGAAAUUGUCAAAAGGGAAGCGUUUGACACCAGUGUUGUUUUUCUGAAAAUCAAUUAAAGAACUGUUUAUGCUAAGUUGUUUAGACUUUAUCAGCUAACUGUUUAGUUUUGAGCUUUUCUUUAAUGCACUUUUCAGUUAACAAGUCAACAUCAAUUUCUUUUGCUGUAAAAAAGCUUGAGGAAGGUGGCUUGAGAUUCGUCUUAAGUGUUUAUAGCCUCUUGCCUAUGCAGUCGGAGAGAUUGAGGUCUGCAGCGUAGAUCCUUCGGGGCUAAAUGCAUUUGUGCUAAGUUAUAGCAUUUUAUAGACAACUUGUUGACUAUGAUUUGUCUUGUAGCUUACUCGCUUAUGUUAUUUUACCUACGCUUAGGAUGUUGAGCGCAUGUCUCUCUCU
This 774-nucleotide ribosomal RNA is filed under the name uncultured Neocallimastigales. RNAcentral describes it as "partial large subunit ribosomal RNA". It matches the Rfam family "Eukaryotic large subunit ribosomal RNA", at positions 23 to 616 of the family's 3401-position model. Lineage: Eukaryota; Fungi; Neocallimastigomycota; Neocallimastigomycetes; Neocallimastigales. The record is from RNAcentral.